GACGAACGCUGGCGGCGUGCUUAACACAUGCGAGUCGUACGGUAAGGCCCUUUCGGGGGUACACGAGUGGCGAACGGGUGAGUAACACGUGAGUAACCUGCCCACAACUUUGGGAUAACGCUAGGAAACUGGUGCUAAUACUGGAUAUGUGCUCCUGCUGCAUGGUGGGGGUUGGAAAGCUCCGGCGGUUGUGGAUGGACUCGCGGCCUAUCAGCUUGUUGGUGGGGGAGUGGCCUACCAAGGCGGCGACGGGUAGCCGGCCUGAGAGGGUGACCGGCCACAUUGGGACUGAGAUACGGCCCAGACACCUACGGGGGGCAGCAGUGGGGAAUAUUGCACUAUGGGCGCAAGCCUGAUGCAGCAACGCCGCGUGCGGGAUAACUGCCUUCGGGUUGUAGACCGCUUUCAGCAGGGACGAAGCUUUUUGUGACGGUACCUGCAGAAGAAGCACCGGCUAACUACGUG
RNAcentral lists this ribosomal RNA (465 nucleotides) under uncultured bacterium. RNAcentral's name for it is "partial 16S ribosomal RNA". It matches the Rfam family "Bacterial small subunit ribosomal RNA", at positions 28 to 507 of the family's 1533-position model. The record is from RNAcentral.